UGAGGAAUAUUGGUCAAUGGUCGGCAGACUGAACCAGCCAAGUCGCGUGAAGGAAGACGGCCCUAAGGGUUGUAAACUUCUUUUGUCGGAGAGUAAAGGUCUUCACGAGUGGAGAUUUGCAAGUAUCCGAAGAAAAAGCAUCGGCUAACUCCGUGCCAGCAGCCGCGGUAAUACGGAGGAUGCGAGCGUUAUCCGGAUUUAUUGGGUUUAAAGGGUGCGUAGGCGGCAUGACAAGUCAGCGGUGAAAUGCCCGGGCUUAACCCGGGAGCUGCCGUUGAAACUGUCGAGCUAGCGUGCACAAGAGGUAGGCGGAAUGCGUGGUGUAGCGGUGAAAUGCAUAGAUAUCACGCAGAACCCCGAUUGCGAAGGCAGCCUACUAGGGUGCAACGGACGCUGAAGCACGAAAGCGUGGGUAUCGAACAGG
RNAcentral lists this ribosomal RNA (424 nucleotides) under uncultured Barnesiella sp. Its description in RNAcentral is "bacterial SSU rRNA". It matches the Rfam family "Bacterial small subunit ribosomal RNA", at positions 355 to 776 of the family's 1533-position model. The record is from RNAcentral. Lineage: Bacteria; Pseudomonadati; Bacteroidota; Bacteroidia; Bacteroidales; Barnesiellaceae.